This 245-nucleotide ribosomal RNA is filed under the name uncultured bacterium. RNAcentral describes it as "partial 16S ribosomal RNA". It matches the Rfam family "Bacterial small subunit ribosomal RNA", at positions 524 to 768 of the family's 1533-position model. The record is from RNAcentral.
UACGUACUGUGCGAACGUUAUUCGGAAUCACUGGGCUUAAAGGGUGUGUAGGCGGCCGGCUAAGUAGGGUGUGAAAGGCCUCGGCCUAACCGAGGCAUUGCGCUCUAAACUGACCGGCUUGAGUGAGAUAGGGGUGUGCGGAACUUCCAGUGGAGCGGUGAAAUGUGUUGAUAUUGGAAGGAACGCCGGUGGCGAAAGCGGCACACUGGGUCUUGUCUGACGCUGAGACACGAAAGCCAGGGGAG